GUGAGGAAUAUUGCGCAAUGGAGGCAACUCUGACGCAGCCAUGCCGCGUGCAGGAAGAAGGCGCUACGCGUUGUAAACUGCUUUUAACCGGGAAGAAACCCCAGGACGUGUCCUGGGUUGACGGUACCGGAGGAAUAAGCACCGGCUAACUUCGUGCCAGCAGCCGCGGUAAUACGAAGGGUGCAAGCGUUAUCCGGAUUCAUUGGGUUUAAAGGGUGCGUAGGCGGAGCGUUAAGUCAGUGGUGAAAUCCUGCAGCUUAACUGUAGACUUGCCAUUGAUACUGGCGCUCUUGCGUGCGCUUGAAGUGGGCGGAAUGUGCCGUGUAGCGGUGAAAUGCUUAGAUAUGGCACAGAACACCAAUUGCGAAGGCAGCUCACUAAGGCGAUACUGACGCUGAGGCACGAAAGCGUGGGGAUCGAACAGGAUUAGAAACCCGGGUAGUCC
This 445-nucleotide ribosomal RNA is filed under the name uncultured bacterium. Its description in RNAcentral is "partial 16S ribosomal RNA". It matches the Rfam family "Bacterial small subunit ribosomal RNA", at positions 354 to 796 of the family's 1533-position model. The record is from RNAcentral.